CUGGGACAAAUGUUAAGCUAGUUACUUGUUGGGCUAAAAUAAUGAAAGCCUACGGAAGAGAAGCUACUUAUAAAAUCACAGUAAUUUCCAGCUUCACCAGAGGAGGGCGCUAAAUCGGCCCGGCCCGGCCCAACUAUAUGUCUAUCACCUCAGAUUAAGAUCUGUAAGAUGUUAAUAUUAGUGCAUAUAUAAUAUAGAAAUCAAAGAACAUGCAACACUCUUCCUAUCAAUAAAAAAUAUAUAUAAAGGAAUAAUUCAUUAAAUUAAUAACAAUAAUUUAUUUUUAUUUAAUGACUUAUCAAACCUGUGAUUAUCACAUUGAAUCCACAUUCAGCCAUGCACAGAGAAAGAUAGAGAGAGAGAGCAAUGGAGAACAUGAAUCUCAAAGUAGAACAAGUAUGCAGAGUUGUAACAAAAACUCAAAAAUAACAUCAUAAAACAUCAUUCUUGAAAGAUCCCCAGAGAGGAAACCAAGAAUUAUAUCAAUACUUACAAAAUUAAACACUUGUUUUUCUUCCAUAUCUAUAUUCUUGUUUGCUUUGCCUGGCUUCACCCUGUGUGCCAUAUACAUGUAUAUAUAUAUAUAUAUACAUACACCUGUAAGUAUAGGCCAAAAGUGGGGAGAGAGCUCGCGAGAGAGCUGAGUUGGUUUUAAUGGACGGAGAUCACAAGCCUCCGCAAGCUCUGCCAAACUUGGUGGAGGUGUCGGUGCCACCCCGCCACCAAGUUUGGCGGAGUUAAGAAGAAGAAAGAAAUGGGUCAAGGAUCAUGGUGAAAAGUUGGGGUUUUGAGUCUCUAUAUGUAUUAUGUAUAUGUUCAGGUUACUCGUAUUCACUGUUCUUAGUGGCCCUUCCUUUCCAGUUUCAGGACGUGGAGCUGAGCUGUGUUGAAGCUACAAUUACAAGAAUGCCAUUAUCUCUGUAUUUCCAUUUAAUUCUAUUGGAUUACUAGUAUUUAUUAAUAAUUUAUUUAUCUAUUUUUACAUGAAGAGAAUCUACAAGUAAUGGAUAAAAAUGUAAAACACUAUACAGG
This 1032-nucleotide long non-coding RNA is filed under the name Manihot esculenta (cassava). RNAcentral's name for it is "long non-coding RNA (MESC_LNC002542)". The record is from RNAcentral. Lineage: Eukaryota; Viridiplantae; Streptophyta; Magnoliopsida; Malpighiales; Euphorbiaceae.